This 71-nucleotide transfer RNA is filed under the name Bracteacoccus aerius. Its description in RNAcentral is "tRNA-His". It matches the Rfam family "tRNA". Rfam says of the family: Transfer RNA (tRNA) molecules are approximately 80 nucleotides in length. Their secondary structure includes four short double-helical elements and three loops (D, anti-codon, and T loops). Further hydrogen bonds mediate the characteristic L-shaped molecular structure. tRNAs have two regions of fundamental functional importance: the anti-codon, which is responsible for specific mRNA codon recognition, and the 3' end, to which the tRNAs corresponding amino acid is attached (by aminoacyl-tRNA synthetases). tRNAs cope with the degeneracy of the genetic code in two manners: having more than one tRNA (with a specific anti-codon) for a particular amino acid; and 'wobble' base-pairing, i.e. permitting non-standard base-pairing at the 3rd anti-codon position. Lineage: Eukaryota; Viridiplantae; Chlorophyta; Chlorophyceae; Sphaeropleales; Bracteacoccaceae. The record is from RNAcentral.
GUGGAUAUAGUUCAGUGGUAGAACGUCGAGUUGUGGCCUCGAAGGCCGUGGGUUCAAACCCCACUAUUCAU